AGAGUUUGAUCAUGGCUCAGGACGAACGCUGGCGGCGCGCCUAACACAUGCMAGUCGAGCGAGAACCAGGACUUCGGUCCUGGGGACAGCGGCGAACGGGUGAGUAACACGUGGAUAACCUGCCCUCGGCACCGGAAUAGCCCGGGGAAACUCGGAUUAAUGCCGGAUAGCCCCACAGUCUCAAGGGACGGUGGGAAAAGGUAGCUUCSGCCUCUGGCCGAGGAUGGGUCCGCGGCGGAUUAGCUAGUUGGCGGGGUAACGGCCCACCAAGGCGACGAUCCGUAGCUGGUCUGAGAGGACGAACAGCCACACUGGGACUGAGACACGGCCCAGACUCCUACGGGAGGCAGCAGUGGGGAAUAUUGCGCUAAUGCGGGAAACCGUGACGCAGCGACGCCGCGUGAGGGAAGAAGGCCUUCGGGUUGUAAACCUCUUUCAGGAGGGAAGAAGCUACUCGGGUUAAUAGCCCAGAGGGUGACGGUACCUCCAGAAGAAGCCCCGGCUAACUACGUGCCAGCAGCCGCGGUAAUACA
Molecule: ribosomal RNA, 533 nt
Filed under: uncultured actinomycete
Lineage: Bacteria; Bacillati; Actinomycetota; Actinomycetes; Actinomycetales
Description: bacterial SSU rRNA
Rfam family: Bacterial small subunit ribosomal RNA
Source: RNAcentral